RNAcentral lists this transfer RNA (84 nucleotides) under Anaplasmataceae bacterium. RNAcentral's name for it is "tRNA-Leu". The record is from RNAcentral. Lineage: Bacteria; Pseudomonadati; Pseudomonadota; Alphaproteobacteria; Rickettsiales; Anaplasmataceae.
GCUGGGAUGGCGGAACUGGCAGACGCGCACGGUUCAGGGCCGUGUGGGAUUUAUCUCGUGGGAGUUCAACUCUCCCUCCCAGCA